UCUGUGACGUACACAGGUGGGGGCGUUGAAAAGGCGGGACGAAGAUGCUCCAGCACAGGCUAAAGGGGGGUGGGGUAGAGAACAGGGAUUUUCGCGCAGGCGCAUAGAACUUAGGCGCACACCUGGGUCUGUUCUUUUUGCCGCACGCUUGCUGCCUGCCAGGGUCGGGUCUCCAAGUGUACUGUGUGAGGAGCCUUGGAGUGGAGCGUAGGCGUGCGCACGGAGAGCGUUGUUUCCCCAGGUUGAGGAAGAAAUUUCCCUCUUUCAGGGCAUAAUUUUGACUGAUUUACUACAUCUACACCCUUUUUGUGAUACCCCCGAAGGACAUAUUAUUUCAUGGCAUCUUAAUAAAGAUCCUACUGGAGUUAACAGAGUUGGUUCACAAGCGUAUUUGUCAGAAACAAGAGCCUCCUCACAAGUCAAGAUCUUGCUCUCAACCCACAAGACAAAAGAGGAACUGCAAAUAAAAUCAGAGGACCUUGAAAGUACAACCAUCUGUAUUUAAUUAUUGGCAAGUGGGUCAUAUUCAUUACGGAAUAGCAGUGAAGUAUCCACGGUCCAGGUGGGUGCCACACAGCAGAGCGGAGCAGGGGCAGGUACAGGCCUUAAUUCAGGUCCCUCCUUCUCCGAGCAAACUUUUCCAAGGCACAAUGAUUAUCACUUACCUUGGUACUCAUAUGUCUUAUCACUUACAGCAUUUAUUUUUGUUAUAAUCUAUUUUUUAUUGCUUUCUUUCAUUGUAAUUUGACUAUUGAGGAAUAGUUAUUCCUGUGGUUACAGAUUCAUUCAUUCCACAAAUACUAGUCGGCUCUCUAAAGGGUCUGUCAAUAUGAUGGCUUGGGAGGUAGAGUGUUGGGCACAGCAGAUGUGGCUCCUACCUUCACUGCUUUGGGAUUGAGGGGAGAGAGACAAGGACACUUUGCCAUUGUAACUCCGGGGAGCAGAAAUCCCAGGGCAAAUUACCUAGCUGAAACCGAAAUCAGCCAAAGGGAGAAAUAAAAUUUAAAACCCUUUUAUUGCUUACAAACUGCAGUCUGGGGGACGUCUCCCUCCUCUUCCCACAGAAGUAAGUGAAACCUCCCCUCAGCCUCUCAGGUUCAGAUAAGCCCUCAGGUGCCCAGGUAAUUACCCAUUGAUAUGGAGAUGAACUACUUCUGUUCACCCCUUAGCAAAGCCUGUUCAUAUGGAGAUGCACUAGAGCCAGGUGAGAAAUUCUGGAAUAUUACAAUUUUACCCAUAGCCACGCACAUAACUGAUUGCAAUGCUGUAAGUGUGCAGAAGAGAAAGCACUAGGAGCUAUGUUAGUAGAAGUGGUGAUUGUCCUGUAAAUGAUUUUACCUGAUGUUAUUAUAGCUCACAAACCUCUUCUUUCAUCUUCCUUGAAACCAGUCCAUUUGCCCUACCAGCAUCUCUCCUUCACUGUGAUGUAUUUAUUUAUUGUUAUUUUUAGUUAUUUUUUCAUUUUUAAUUGUAGUAAAACACACAUAACAUAAAAUUUACCAUCUUAACCAUAUUUAAUUAUAUAGUUCAGUAUUGUUAAUUUCCUUCAGUGUUGGGCAGCAAUGACCUCCUUUCAUCUCCAGAACAUUUUUCAUCUUGAAAAACUGAAACUGUCUAUCCUUUAAACAACUCCCCAACCCUUUUCCCCUCAGUCUCUUGCAACCACCAUUGCAUUUUUAGUCUCUCUGAUAGGUACUACCUAUAAGUGGGAUCACACAGCAUUUGUGUUUUUUGUGACUGGCUUAUUUCACUCAGCUGAAUGUCUUUGUGGGUAAAAUUGAAACAUUUCCAGAAUUUCUCGCCUGUCUUUGGUGUAUCUGCAUAUUAACAGGCAUUCGGAGGUGUAAACAAGUAGGCUGUAGUGCAUUUGCAUCUUUCCUCACGGGUGGAGAAGUUCAUCUCCAUAUCAAUGG
Molecule: non-coding RNA, 1913 nt
Organism: Manis javanica (Malayan pangolin)
Lineage: Eukaryota; Metazoa; Chordata; Mammalia; Pholidota; Manidae
Source: RefSeq, a predicted model, not a curated record